GAUGAACGCUGGCGGCGUGCCUAACACAUGCAAGUCGAGCGAGGGUUUGCUCAGUAUUGAGUAUUCUAAGUCUAGAAUGUUCAAUUCUGAGCAAAACCAAGCGGCGGACGGGUGAGUAACGCGUGGGUAACCUGCCCUAUACACAUGGAUAACAUACUGAAAAGUUUACUAAUACAUGAUAAUAUAUAUUUGCGGCAUCGCAGAUAUAUCAAAGUGUUAGCGGUAUAGGAUGGACCCGCGUCUGAUUAGCUAGUUGGUGAGAUAACUGCCCACCAAGGCGACGAUCAGUAGCCGACCUGAGAGGGUGAUCGGCCACAUUGAAACUGAGACACGGUCCAAACUCCUACGGGAGGCAGCAGUGGGGAAUAUUGCACAAUGGGCGAAAGCCUGAUGCAGCAACGCCGCGUGAACGAUGAAGGUCUUCGGAUCGUAAAGUUCUGUUGCAGGGGAAGAUAAUGACGGUACCCUGUGAGGAAGCCCCGGCUAACUACGUGCCAGCAGCCGCGGUAAUACGUAGGGGGCUAGCGUUAUCCGGAUUUACUGGGCGUAAAGGGUGCGUAGGUGGUCCUUCAAGUCGGUGGUUAAAGGCUACGGCUCAACCGUAGUAAGCCGCCGAAACUGGAGGACUUGAGUGCAGGAGAGGAAAGUGGAAUUCCCAGUGUAGCGGUGAAAUGCGUAGAUAUUGGGAGGAACACCAGUAGCGAAGGCGGCUUUCUGGACUGCAACUGACACUGAGGCACGAAAGCGUGGGUAGCAAACAGG
RNAcentral lists this ribosomal RNA (762 nucleotides) under uncultured Peptostreptococcus sp. RNAcentral's name for it is "bacterial SSU rRNA". It matches the Rfam family "Bacterial small subunit ribosomal RNA", at positions 28 to 776 of the family's 1533-position model. The record is from RNAcentral. Lineage: Bacteria; Bacillati; Bacillota; Clostridia; Peptostreptococcales; Peptostreptococcaceae.